This is a long non-coding RNA of Platichthys flesus (European flounder), 511 nucleotides long. RefSeq lists it as uncharacterized. The transcript has 3 exons. Lineage: Eukaryota; Metazoa; Chordata; Actinopteri; Pleuronectiformes; Pleuronectidae. The record is from RefSeq and is a predicted model, not a curated record.
CUGUAGAUCCCAAUUGAGUACGAACGUGGGACUGGCACCCAGACCAAGAGAUGGGUGGGACAAAUUAGCCGCCUGGAUGACCUGAUCACACUUCACCCAGUUCACCAUAGAUCCAUCGCUCUCCAGGACAGGAGAGCGUUUGUCAGUCUCCUCAAAUGCCUCCUACAAACUGACGCAAGGUGGAGGAUCACGCCACAGGGUGGUCUCUCUCACCCCUUUCUUACAAUGGUCCACCUGAAGGAUAACAUGGAAAACCCAUAUUUAAUAGAUUGUCUGGUCAAAAUGGCGGUCUUGGACUUGGAAGACAGGUCGGAUGUAUUGGCUGAGGAAGAUCCAGCAAAUCACUCCAGUGACGGGUCUGAACACACAGAUGACCCAUGUGAUGAGGCUGCAGCUGCAGACACUGAUGUUGAUGCCUCAACUGUAGAGGAAUCAGUUGACAGCCCAGAAGUGCAUGAUUCAGUAAAGGAAGCACAGGUCUAUGAUGAGACUCUGAAGAGGAUGAGGACGU